This 256-nucleotide ribosomal RNA is filed under the name uncultured bacterium. RNAcentral describes it as "partial 16S ribosomal RNA". It matches the Rfam family "Bacterial small subunit ribosomal RNA", at positions 524 to 776 of the family's 1533-position model. The record is from RNAcentral.
UACGAGGGGUGCAAGCGUUGCUCGGAAUUAUUGGGCGUAAAGGGUAGGUAGGUGGUCUCAUUUGUCUGGGGUGAAAGCCUUGAGCUUAACUCAAGAAGUGCCCCAGAAACGGUGAGACUGGAGUCUUGGAGAGGGUCGUGGAAUUCCCGGUGUAGCGGUGAAAUGCGUAGAGAUCCGGAAGAACACCGGUGGCGAAGGCGGCCUGCUGGGCAGUUUUGCUGACACUGAGGCGCGACGAGCGUGGGGAGCAAACAGG